RNAcentral lists this unclassified non-coding RNA (362 nucleotides) under uncultured fungus. RNAcentral describes it as "partial contains 5.8S ribosomal RNA and internal transcribed spacer 2". The stretch from base 1 to 133 matches the Rfam family "5.8S ribosomal RNA", at positions 22 to 154 of the family's 154-position model. The record is from RNAcentral. Lineage: Eukaryota; Fungi.
UGGUUCUGGCAUCGAUGAAGAACGCAGCGAAAUGCGAUAAGUAAUGUGAAUUGCAGAAUUCAGUGAAUCAUCGAAUCUUUGAACGCACAUUGCGCCCCUUGGUAUUCCGAGGGGCAUGCCUGUUCGAGCGUCAUUUCAAACUUCAAGCUUCUGCUUGGUAUUGAGCGUCUCGCUUUUCGAAAGAGAAGCGCGCUCGAAACUCGUGGGCGGUGAUGUCCAGCGUCGUAGCGUAGUCAUAAACCAUUCCGCUUCCGAUCGCUUCUGGACGCUCACCCGCCGGGCGAACCAAAAAAAAGGCACCGAAAGGUUCCUUUUUUACUUUCUCCAAGUUUGACCUCGGAUCAGGUAGGGAUACCCGCUGA